This 1450-nucleotide ribosomal RNA is filed under the name Citrobacter sp. Its description in RNAcentral is "bacterial SSU rRNA". It matches the Rfam family "Bacterial small subunit ribosomal RNA". The record is from RNAcentral. Lineage: Bacteria; Pseudomonadati; Pseudomonadota; Gammaproteobacteria; Enterobacterales; Enterobacteriaceae.
UUAGCCGAGCGCAGGCUACACAUUGCAGUUCGAACGGUAGCACAGAGAGCUUGCUCUCGGGUGACGAGUGGCGGACGGGUGAGUAAUGUCUGGGAAACUGCCCGAUGGAGGGGGAUAACUACUGGAAACGGUAGCUAAUACCGCAUAAUGUCGCAAGACCAAAGAGGGGGACCUUCGGGCCUCUUGCCAUCGGAUGUGCCCAGAUGGGAUUAGCUUGUAGGUGGGGUAACGGCUCACCUAGGCGACGAUCCCUAGCUGGUCUGAGAGGAUGACCAGCCACACUGGAACUGAGACACGGUCCAGACUCCUACGGGAGGCAGCAGUGGGGAAUAUUGCACAAUGGGCGCAAGCCUGAUGCAGCCAUGCCGCGUGUAUGAAGAAGGCCUUCGGGUUGUAAAGUACUUUCAGCGAGGAGGAAGGUGUUGUGGUUAAUAACCGCAGCAAUUGACGUUACUCGCAGAAGAAGCACCGGCUAACUCCGUGCCAGCAGCCGCGGUAAUACGGAGGGUGCAAGCGUUAAUCGGAAUUACUGGGCGUAAAGCGCACGCAGGCGGUCUGUCAAGUCGGAUGUGAAAUCCCCGGGCUCAACCUGGGAACUGCAUCCGAAACUGGCAGGCUAGAGUCUUGUAGAGGGGGGUAGAAUUCCAGGUGUAGCGGUGAAAUGCGUAGAGAUCUGGAGGAAUACCGGUGGCGAAGGCGGCCCCCUGGACAAAGACUGACGCUCAGGUGCGAAAGCGUGUGGAGCAAACAGGAUUAGAUACCCUGGUAGUCCACGCCGUAACGAUGUCGACUUGGAGGUUGUGCCCUUGAGGCGUGGCUUCCGGAGCUAACGCGUUAAGUCGACCGCCUGGGGAGUACGGCCGCAAGGUUAAAACUCAAAUGAAUUGACGGGGGCCCGCACAAGCGGUGGAGCAUGUGGUUUAAUUCGAUGCAACGCGAAGAACCUUACCUACUCUUGACAUCCAGAGAACUUAGCAGAGAUGCUUUGGUGCCUUCGGGAACUCUGAGACAGGUGCUGCAUGGCUGUCGUCAGCUUGUGUUGUGAAAUGUUGGGUUAAGUCCCGCAACGAGCGCAACCCUUAUCCUUUGUUGCCAGCGGUUCGGCCGGGAACUCAAAGGAGACUGCCAGUGAUAAACUGGAGGAAGGUGGGGAUGACGUCAAGUCAUCAUGGCCCUUACGAGUAGGGCUACACACGUGCUACAAUGGCAUAUACAAAGAGAAGCGACCUCGCGAGAGCAAGCGGACCUCAUAAAGUAUGUCGUAGUCCGGAUUGGAGUCUGCAACUCGACUCCAUGAAGUCGGAAUCGCUAGUAAUCGUGGAUCAGAAUGCCACGGUGAAUACGUUCCCGGGCCUUGUACACACCGCCCGUCACACCAUGGGAGUGGGUUGCAAAAGAAAGUAGGUAGCUUAACCUUCGGGAGGGCGCUAACCAACUUUGUAUCUCGAAA